AGUGAACGCUGGCGGCAGGCCUAACACAUGCAAGUCGAACGGUAGCACAGGAGAGCUUGCUCUCUGGGUGACGAGUGGCGGACGGGUGAGGAAUAUAUCGGAAUCUACCCAAUCGUGGGGGAUAACGUAGGGAAACUUACGCUAAUACCGCAUACGAUCUGAGGAUGAAAGCGGCGGACCGCAAGGCGUCGCGCGAUUGGAUGAGCCGAUAUCCGAUUAGCUAGUUGGUGAGGUAAUGGCCCACCAAGGCAACGAUCGGUAGCUGGUCUGAGAGGAUGAUCAGCCACACUGGAACUGAGACACGGUCCAGACUCCUACGGGAGGCAGCAGUGGGGAAUAUUGGACAAUGGGCGCAAGCCUGAUCCAGCCAUGCCGCGUGUGUGAAGAAGGCCUUCGGGUUGUAAAGCACUUUUGUUGGGGAAGAAAAG
Molecule: ribosomal RNA, 428 nt
Filed under: uncultured bacterium
Lineage: Bacteria
Description: bacterial SSU rRNA
Rfam family: Bacterial small subunit ribosomal RNA
Source: RNAcentral